This is a long non-coding RNA of Poecilia reticulata (guppy), 670 nucleotides long. RefSeq lists it as uncharacterized. Lineage: Eukaryota; Metazoa; Chordata; Actinopteri; Cyprinodontiformes; Poeciliidae. The record is from RefSeq and is a predicted model, not a curated record.
CCCACUUGAAAAGGUCAACAGCAACACAGAAAAAAGAUUUAAAAAACACUAAAUUUUCGCUUUGUUUGAUAAGGGAACACGACACACAUGCAGGUUGUAGUCAGGGAGAACGUUACAGUAACUCUAUCCUUCCACUGUGCUCCUGCCAGCUCUGUUUACUGACUCGCAGCCACCUGGGGACUACAAAAAAAAAAACCCUGGGACUGAAAAACUGCUUUGUCACCGUCUUCUUGUGUCAGUUCACUAACAGCUGCUAAGCAAAAACAAGGAGCCGAGCUUCAAGAUAAAUCCUGAAGGAAGGAUUAAACGAUGCUGUGACUGAUCAUCUCUGGAGUGCGGCAUGUUAUUAACUGGAUAACCUCCUGUUGUUGCUCCAAUGGGAGGGAGGAGACAGUUUCAAGCUGCCGGUGUCAAGGGCAGAAGGUGUGGACGGUCAACCGUGAUGAAAAACCCUCCCAUCAGACUCUUCCAUAACGUGUCCCACUGUAUCUACUGUUGCUAGGGCAUUCAUGUUUGCAUCUGCUUCACCUAAGCUCUGGGUUGUGCUGUACUUGUACUAAUGAUGACUUGUCUGAAAACUCCUGCUUCAGGAAGCUGGACAAUGUCUGACAGCUCACAAGUACACAGCACUCAGUCCACAGUAACAUCCUAACAUCCUGCCAUAUGUGGU